AGUCUUUGAACGCAAGUUGCGCCCGAAAGCCAUUCGUGGUUCGAGGGCACGUUUGCCUGGGUGUCACACACGGCGUUGCCCCAAAUCCCUUGCCCAAUUCCCGGGCAGGCAGGACUCGGGAGCGUAUGUUGGCCUCCCGCGACGGCUUAGUCCCGGUUGGCCUAAAAUCGAGCGCUGGAGCGAUUAGCACCACGACAUUCGGUGGUUUGACGAAGACCCCAACGAUCAAUGUCGUGCGUGUCGCUCGUGCGAGCGCUCAGCGAAUCUACUAUUUACCAACGCGACCCCAGGUCAAGCGGGGCUACCCGCUGAGUUUAAGCAUAUCAAUAAGCGGAGGAAAAGAAACUAACAAGGAUUCCCCUAGUAACGGCGAGCGAACCGGGAAGAGCCC
RNAcentral lists this ribosomal RNA (391 nucleotides) under Decaspermum parviflorum. Its description in RNAcentral is "eukaryotic LSU rRNA". The stretch from base 282 to 391 matches the Rfam family "Eukaryotic large subunit ribosomal RNA", at positions 1 to 110 of the family's 3401-position model. Lineage: Eukaryota; Viridiplantae; Streptophyta; Magnoliopsida; Myrtales; Myrtaceae. The record is from RNAcentral.